This 74-nucleotide transfer RNA is filed under the name Halomonas beimenensis. RNAcentral's name for it is "Halomonas beimenesis tRNA". It matches the Rfam family "tRNA". From Rfam's summary of the family: Transfer RNA (tRNA) molecules are approximately 80 nucleotides in length. Their secondary structure includes four short double-helical elements and three loops (D, anti-codon, and T loops). Further hydrogen bonds mediate the characteristic L-shaped molecular structure. tRNAs have two regions of fundamental functional importance: the anti-codon, which is responsible for specific mRNA codon recognition, and the 3' end, to which the tRNAs corresponding amino acid is attached (by aminoacyl-tRNA synthetases). tRNAs cope with the degeneracy of the genetic code in two manners: having more than one tRNA (with a specific anti-codon) for a particular amino acid; and 'wobble' base-pairing, i.e. permitting non-standard base-pairing at the 3rd anti-codon position. RNAcentral also lists the same sequence under 1 other name. Lineage: Bacteria; Pseudomonadati; Pseudomonadota; Gammaproteobacteria; Oceanospirillales; Halomonadaceae. The record is from Rfam by way of RNAcentral.
CGGGGUGUAGCGCAGUCUGGUAGCGCGCCUGCUUUGGGAGCAGGAUGUCGGGGGUUCAAAUCCCUCCACCCCGA